RNAcentral lists this ribosomal RNA (493 nucleotides) under uncultured bacterium. Its description in RNAcentral is "partial 16S ribosomal RNA". It matches the Rfam family "Bacterial small subunit ribosomal RNA", at positions 27 to 507 of the family's 1533-position model. The record is from RNAcentral.
GAGUGAACGCUGGCGGUAGGCCUAACACAUGCAAGUCGAACGGCAGCACAGUAAGAGCUUGCUCUUACGGGUGGCGAGUGGCGGACGGGUGAGGAAUACAUCGGAAUCUACUUUUUCGUGGGGGAUAACGUAGGGAAACUUACGCUAAUACCGCAUACGACCUACGGGUGAAAGCAGGGGAUCUUCGGACCUUGCGCGAUUGAAUGAGCCGAUGUCGGAUUAGCUAGUUGGCGGGGUAAAGGCCCACCAAGGCGACGAUCCGUAGCUGGUCUGAGAGGAUGAUCAGCCACACUGGAACUGAGACACUGUCCAGACUCCUACGGGAGGCAGCAGUGGGGAAUAUUGGACAAUGGGCGCAAGCCUGAUCCAGCCAUACCGCGUGGGUGAAGAAGGCCUUCGGGUUGUAAAGCCCUUUUGUUGGGAAAGAAAAGCAGCAGGUUAAUACCCCGCUGUUCUGACGGUACCCAAAGAAUAAGCACCGGCUAACUUCGUG